RNAcentral lists this ribosomal RNA (110 nucleotides) under Cebus imitator (Panamanian white-faced capuchin). The record is from RNAcentral. Lineage: Eukaryota; Metazoa; Chordata; Mammalia; Primates; Cebidae.
GUCCACUGCCAUACCACCCUGAAGCUAAGCAGGGUAGGGCCUGGUUAGUACUUGGAUGGGAGAAAAAUGAUAUUUGCAGAAAAAUGAGUGAAUAUCAGAUGACGUCUAUA